This 492-nucleotide ribosomal RNA is filed under the name uncultured bacterium. RNAcentral's name for it is "partial 16S ribosomal RNA". It matches the Rfam family "Bacterial small subunit ribosomal RNA", at positions 29 to 507 of the family's 1533-position model. The record is from RNAcentral.
AGUGAACGCUGGCGGUAGGCCUAACACAUGCAAGUCGAACGGCAGCACAGUAAGAGCUUGCUCUUACGGGUGGCGAGUGGCGGACGGGUGAGGAAUACAUCGGAAUCUACUUUUUCGUGGGGGAUAACGUAGGGAAACUUACGCUAAUACCGCAUACGACCUACGGGUGAAAGCAGGGGAUCUUCGGACCUUGCGCGAUUGAAUGAGCCGAUGUCGGAUUAGCUAGUUGGCGGGGUAAAGGCCCACCAAGGCGACGAUCCGUAGCUGGUCUGAGAGGCUGAUCAGCCACACUGGAACUGAGACACGGCCCAGAGUCCUACGGAAGGCAGCUGUGGGGAAUUUUGGACAAUGGGCGCAAGCCUGAUCCAGCAAUACCGCGUGGGUAAUGAAGGCCUUCGGGUUGUAAAGCCCUUUUGUUGGGAAAGAAAAGCAGCAGGUUAAAAACCCGCUGUUCUGACGGUACCCAAAGAAUAAGCACCGGCUAACUUCGUG